RNAcentral lists this ribosomal RNA (1021 nucleotides) under Candidatus Electrothrix communis. RNAcentral's name for it is "partial 23S ribosomal RNA". It matches the Rfam family "Bacterial large subunit ribosomal RNA", at positions 1 to 1023 of the family's 2925-position model. Lineage: Bacteria; Pseudomonadati; Thermodesulfobacteriota; Desulfobulbia; Desulfobulbales; Desulfobulbaceae. The record is from RNAcentral.
AUGGUUAAGCUACUAAGGGCUGACGGCGGAUGCUUGGCACUAGGAGGCGAUGAAGGACGCGGAAAGCUGCGAUAAGCUUCGGUGAGCUGCUAACAGGCUUUGACCCGGAGAUUUCCGAAUGGGGAAACCCGGCAGAGGUAAUACUUUGUCAUCGUUCAGUGAAUACAUAGCUGAACGAAGCGAACGGGGGGAAGUGAAACAUCUCAGUACCUCCAGGAAUAGAAAUCAAACGAGAUUCCGUGAGUAGCGGCGAGCGAAAGCGGAAGAGCCCAAACCGGUGUAUUUAUAUACCGGGGUUGUAGGACCCAAUAUGGGAUUGGUGAUAAAUAGCGGAAAGGUCUGGAAAGGCCUGCCAGAGACGGUGAUAGUCCGGUACGCGAAAUUUUAAUCCACCCUAGGGAGUUCCUGAGUACCACGAGACACGUGAAACCUUGUGGGAAUCUGGGAGGACCAUCUUCCAAGGCUAAAUACUACCUAGUGACCGAUAGUGAACAAGUACCGUGAGGGAAAGGUGAAAAGAACCCCGGGAGGGGAGUGAAAUAGAAACUGAAACCGUCAGCUUACAAGCAGUUGGAGCAUCGAUUUAUCGGUGUGACAGCGUGCCUUUUGCAUAAUGAGUCAACGACUUACCCUGUGUGGCAAGGUUAAGCCGUGAGGUGUAGCCGCAGCGAAAGCGAGUCUUAAUGAGGCGAUGAGUCAUACGGGGUAGACCCGAAGCCGGGUGAUCUAUCCAUGUCCAGGGUGAAGUUUCGGUAACACGAAAUGGAGGCCCGAACCAUUGUAGGUUGAAAACUGCUUGGAUGAGGUGUGGAUAGGAGUGAAAGGCUAAUCAAACUCGGUGAUAGCUGGUUUUCUCCGAAAUAUAUUUAGGUAUAGCCUUGCGUGAUGACUGUUGGAGGUAGAGCACUGACAGGACUAGGGGUCCCACCGGAUUACCAACUCCUUUCAAACUCCGAAUGCCAACAAGUUCUAGCGUGGGAGUCAGACUGCGGGAGAUAAGUUCCGUAGUCGAGAGGGAAAG